AUUCAUAAAACCGAGGCCGAGAGGAAGAGGGAGGCGGCCUCCGACCCGCCGCCAGCGGCGGGCAGCGCCCGGACUUUGUGAAUGGAGCGCGCGGCGCCUUUCGCCGUCUACCCGCGGGCCCAGCCUGCGCCGCGCCUCCAGCCCGACACCGGCACCUGUGCCGCCGCUGCACCCCGCCGCUAGGCGGGCGGCGCCAAAGGAAAUAGCCGGCUGAGGAGGCCAGGGCUCGGGUUUGAGCUUUCAUCCCUUGGCACCUUCGCGCUUCCCCGCGUGACAGCCCCGUAGGUUUUUCCCGGUUACCCAAGUGGAGAGGGGACCGGAGCGCUGCUGCCCACCCAGCGGGGCCUGACACCUCCUAGCCCCAGACUCCCCGUGCGCUUUCGGCCCGGCCAGUCCUUUCUGAAUAUGCGAUUCCUGAGACGUUAGCGUAUGCAUUAGCGUGAUCGAUUUUCAUCUAAAGCCAUUAAAUCAGUUUUAUAGCUUCCCCAAGAACGUGGGCAACCCCCUGCUUGGAAGAUGAAAGAGAAAGUCCUCCCGCCCGAAGCCCAGGAUCGGAGUGAGGUGUGGGGUUUGUUGCUUUACUACCCAAAGGGAGGCAUUAAUUGCCGGAAUGGUGUUCCGAGGGAGGAGAGCAGGCUGCGCUCCUGUCCACGCUUCCUAAAAGAUGUUUAUUUAACCCUGGUCGGGGGAAAAACAAGGUUUUCGGGUUUGGGAAACGUCUUCACCCUAUCUUGCAUAGUUGUGAAUUAUCCUUUCAGGAAAUGACAGGGUCCACAUUUGUUGCGGAGCUGGACCCUGGAAAAUGUACCCGCAAAGAAUGACCUUUUGAAAGGACUUCAGCAGCUCUGGGUCCGAUUCAUGUUUCUGGGCAUCCCUUUUUCCUGGUCACGUAGCAGCCCUCCCCAUCCCCAUUUCUCUUUUGCAUUUAAUUUCCCAGAGGCGGCUUUUGGCUGGGGGUUUGUGCACGCACGCGGUGGGGACCGUGCAGAAGCCAAAAAUCAUUCGCCCGACAUCUUGCCAAGUCUUGUUAGUGAGAAUUAAUCACAGAGCAAGGGAGUUACAGGACUCGCUCGCAGUUUCGGAGGCUGCAGAGUAGCGUAUUCCAUUCCGGGGCGCGCGUGGAAGCCCGACCCAGGCAGCGAGGGCACCGGUACCCGCCGGGUCUCUCCCGCCCAAGCUCACCCUCUCCCCAUGCCUUUGUUCCGGGCGGAGCGGCUUUCCCGAGCUCUCACCUCCGGUCCCGGGGGCCAUCCCUGCACUCCCCGACCGGAGCUCGGCGGAGCCUCCACUUCCGAGACCUUCGACUGGCCUCGUCCCCCACUGGGCCCCGAAUGCCUCGACCCCCGGGCCCUACUCGGAUGAGCUGUAGGGGCACCGCUUGGGCAAGGUGAUAUUUCCUUUUGCUCCGGGCUCCAAAAUGGCUUACGAUGGCACUGCACGGAUCCUUUCUCUUUUUAAAAUUUAGUAUUUUAUUCAUCAUGGAUUUUUUGCAUUUUUUUUUCUUUUAAAGAGGCAUUGCAUCAAGAUAUUUCUUUUGAUUACUGACUUUUCGGCGCCCUUCUUAAAUGUUGCGCUCAAGGCUUGUGCUCACCCUAGUCCAGGCCCUGGAAGGAGCCACAACUGUGGACUGACCGAGGCUGCCCGGUGGCAGGACCCUGGGCGUCGGGCACUCCGGGUGGGAGAUCAGUGGUCAAAGCCGCACGGCGUGGCCUCCCUGUGGGGAGGGCAAAAGGUGUCUGAGUCCAGUUUCCCAUUCUGCUGAAUGGGACUGUGGGGGUCUAUCUAAUAACUCGCUUUCGAUAAGGAGCAAGGAGCCCCAGGGGCCCCGACAGUCCAAGGCUGAUUUUGCUUUCCCGGGUUGCUCUCCAGCAGCUCAGAAAUCCGCCGCCUGCCAGGACCCAGGGCCGGAGCUCUCCCGGCGCAAGUAAACACUGAUUCCUUUACAAAGGCUUUAACAAGACAUUUCUGGGAAAAGCCUCUCAGGAGGCAGGUCCGGGCCAAUUUCACGCGUGUCGCAGGAGCUGGGGAGACGUCCCUGGGGCGCACGGGUCGCGCUCUGGGCCAGCUUUUGUCUACCCUGUUCUGGGGUCGCCUUCCCCGCCGGACCCGCGCCUGGCGCUCACGUGGCCAGUAAAUAACAGUCAAAUCCAGGGGGAGGAAAAUGCCCAUAGAACAAAGAGGCUUGCUUUCUGCACCUGACAGUAAUCGCUGGUGGAGAAGCCCUAAAUCCCGCAGGCGAUUCACACGGAAAGGGGUGUGGGAGGGCGCGUGUGAGUGUGUGUGUCCACGUGUGCGUGCCCGCGCCUACGCGGCUGUUCACUGGAAGGGAGUCACAGCUUGGGACUUAAUGUGUUUAAGCCGAGAGCCACUUGAAUUGCGAAAGCGAAGGCCUGAUUUUUAAAAAAGACUAAUUUUUAAAAUCCACACCCCAUUGCCAACUCAGGAAUUGGCCUUCAGUUGUGUGAAUUUCAGCAAAGGAGAUUUAAGUUACCAUAUUGUAUUUAUCGGGAUACUGUGUAAACACCCUAGAUAUAUAUUUUUUAAUUGUAUGUUUGUGAACCAUUGGUCCACAGUUAAAUGAGUACAACGCGAGGGCUACUCCAUGCCGGCUAUAGAUAAAACCUGUCUCCAAUUCGUCUGCAGUCUGUGGACGAAACAUAACCAUUUUAAACAGGAACCUUGUGAAACAGCUUGUCAAUGAGCAGAUCUUGGAGAAAACAAAGGCAAUUUGGAGCAAGACACGGAAUGUCAUUUCAAAGUUAAUUUAAUUAACUAAGGCAUAUUUGUAGGAAUUGGGAUGGGAUUGCCCAAGGAGAGGUCUUUUAUUUAUAUUCAGCAGUAAACCUCGGGGUGAAAGAACUUUUAAAAAUUCGCUGUGACAAGUAAAUCCAGCUUCUCUUUCAUCAGUCAGUCCUUAGACCGACCUUAUUAGUCACUGUCAGGCUCCAGCAAAACACCUGCUCUUGUUUAGGAACAUUUCUUUCCAAUUAGGAAGUUGUAUGAUCGGGGAAUCUAAAGCCCGGAGUAGAAUCCCCAGAGAGAAGUACAGCUUCUAUUCUAGUUUUGAUGCCAACCUCUGACUCACUGCUCUGUCCCAAAGUGCCUGAAUAAAACUUGCCUGAAAAAUCAUUAAUGAAUUAAUUAAGGUGGUGAUGGAAAGAAAAGUCCUGUGGCUUUUCCUUUCUUGAGCAAAGAGGCAGCCUUGCUAUUACGUCGAACUGGAACAGGAAUAAUCCAUUUUGCACAGAUCUUGUUGGUUAGGCUUCUUAGAUCAACUAAUUAGGGAACUUGCCCCCUGGUAGUGGGAAGGCUCAAAAGAACUGGGAGACCCUCUCCUGCUCCUGAAAGCAGAGAAGCCUGUGGUCUACACAGCGUGUUCUUAGGCAACGUUUAGAAAUGGAAUUGAGAAAUGCCUGUCCUUCCCUACGUACCUCUGCCCAUCAAGUCAGGACUGAAAGCGAAGGAAAGUCUUCAAAGUUCACACUGAACCUAACCAAAAACUCUCAAAGACAUAGCCUGAGGAUUUCUUUUUUUAAGUCCUGACUUUGUUACAGAUCUUUUUUGUUUUCUAUGCUUGAUACUCUAGCACUUAUUAAUGAUUUAAAAGGCUAUGUAUCGGCCAGGCGAGGUGGCUCACGCUAGUAAUCCCAGCACUUUGGAAGACCGAAGUGGGCAGAUCACCUGAGGUCAGGAGUUUAAGACCAGCCUGGUCAACAUGGUGAAACCCUGUCUCUUCUAAAAAUACAAAAUUAGCCAGCAUGACGGGCGCGCACCCAUAAUCCCAGCUACACUGGAGGCUGAGGCAGGAGAAUCGCUUGAACCCGGGAGGUAGAGGUUGCAGUGAGCUGAGAUCCCCUCACUGCACUCCAGCCUGGGCGACAAGAGCAAAACUCCAUCUCAAAAUAAAUAAAUAAAUACAAAUAAAAAAUAAUAAAAGAUUAAGUUUCUAACCCAGGGUCUCUGCAGAAAGGUUUUAAUGCAUUGCUUUAUUUACUGCUUUAUUUUAAAACUAUUCAAUCUAGGCUAUGCCACCAUCUAGCUUGGUGGCCUUGGGCAAGACAGUCUCCUUUGGCCUCACUUUCUUCACCUGCAAAAUGAAGAGUUUGGGCAGGAUGGUUUCUCAGGUCUGGUCUAUUUCCGACCCUGUAUGAUUCUGAGCAGAAGAAGACUUCUCAGCUCCGAGUCCAAGUUUCAUAGGUUUCCCAUCUCGCCCUCUGAAGAGCCAAGCACACUAUAAUGCCAUAAGAUAAAGGACGAUCUCUAGCUCCUCCUUGUCCCUGCUUUAGAAUAUAAACUCAUGGACAGCAGAGCUCAUAGUUUUUAUUUAUUUGUUUAGUCACGUGCUAACGUCCCAAGCAUUUUGAUAAAACGUCUUCAAAAUUUCAGAAACAAAUUUUGGAAAGAAACACUUCUCCAAACGGGAUAAAAAUGAACUCGGAGGCUGGGCAUGGAUGGUGGCUCAUGCCUGUAAUCCCCCAGCACUUUGGGAGGCUGGCGGAUCACUUGAGGUCAGGAGUUGGAGACCAGCCUGACCAACAUUAAAAAUACAAAAAUUAGUCAGGCAUGAUGGUGGGUGCCUGUAGUCCCAGCUACUCGUGAGGCUGAGGCAAAAGAAUCCCUUGACCCGGAGAGGCAGAGGUUGCAGUGAGUCAAGAUUGGGCCACUGCACUCCUGCCUGGACAGGGCGAGACAGCGAGACUCCAUCUCAAAAGACAAACAAACAAAACAAUACAAAACAAAACUAGGUUAUUUGGGGUCACUCUAGCUGUGCAGAUUCUCUUAUUCAUUCAACAAACGUGCUAGACUCAGCAAGAGGUGCGGGAAGUAGGGGGACAGAUUUGUCCAAAACACUGUGCCUUCAAAAAGCUGACAGUCUCAUUGGUCUAGUCAGGGUGUGAUUGCCACUGUACAUUGCCAGAAAGCAGGAUCUAACAAAGUGUCAUUAGAGAACAAACAGCAUGCCAGGAAGAUUCAGAAGAGAAAGGGAUGGAGCCGUGUUGUGAGAUUAGGGAAAUGGAGGAAAAGGCCAUCAUGAAUAAAGUGCAUUUCAUCUACUUAAAUGUUAUCCUUGAAAUGUCCUUGAGUUCUCUUGUAGGUUUUUUUUUUUUUUAAACUGUUAUCUCACCUCUGACAUUCAUUCUGCCCUUGUGCCUUGUAUUCUUUUCCUUUCAUUUGUUAGCAUCUCUCUUCCCCAGUGGGUUUGCCUGCUAAAAAUAGAUGAGCAAUUGGUGUGAAACUACAAGGGAGCUAAGAUGAUGCAAAAGCUCUGUAGAAAAUCUGUGCCAUGGAUGAGCAACCGACCUAGAUGGUAGCUGACCUAAGUAAGGGCCCGACUCUUUCAUUGCCAUCUUAAGCAAGUCAGUUGUUCUGUACUUUGAUUUUACCAUCUGUAAAACAAAGGAAAAACAAUGUAAUUAUUGUUUACAUUUUAUAUUUACUUUUUUCAGGACAACAAAAUGUCUAAAUCACCUUUCCAAGGCUUCAACAAUGAAUGUAUUUUCCAAAUCAAUGUUGGAGUACAUGGUCAGAAAAGAUGUCUUUUGGACUUGUGAAAUUACUUAUAUAAAAAUUCUUACCAAGAUGGAAGCAUAAAAAACACAUUUAUUUAUAUGUUUACUAAAUCUUCUUUUAUUGAAAACAAUAAGACAACCUGAAAGCAAGUCUAUCAGAGAAAAUCUGGGACUUAUGUCUUCACUGACAAAAUAAUAAAUGAGACAAAGUGAUAGAAGACCUUUGUCAUGACACCUGUUUGCUACCAGAGCCCCAGGCCAUCGUCAUCCACUGAUGUCUCCACAUUAAUUCUGCAGAGGUCCUGGACAGUCUUCUCUGCCCUGUCUAAUGGUCAGUUAAUUCUCCUUGUAAGCACAUCAUGGCUGACCAGGUGCUGGACCGCGCAAAGAAAGGUGUCAGAGCUUUCAGCUUAAGCCUUGAUUGGGUGGUGAGUAGGUCUCCUGCAGCUAAUCAGUGGCUUUAGAAACCCUGGAGUCCUUCAGAAACCCUAAAGUUCUUCCUUCUGAUUUUUCUGGUAGACCAAAGGAAAAGGCCAACAACAAACAAUUUCUAAAUAAGAAAUUUCCACCUUAGCUAAAAGCAAAAGGCCUUUGAUACUCUAUAAGAUUGAUCAACUCACUUCAGUUGAAAUAAUGGUUUUCUGAAGUCAAGGCAUGAACAGCCUUUCCCCACUGGAUGGGAUGCUCAGAUUACCAGCCCUGGAAUGAAACAAAAGGAGAAGACUGUCUCACCCCACACUUCUCAACCAUUGGCCAUUCUGAGAUGACACCUGCAGAGCCACAGCCCCACCUGCCCGAGCACCCACGGGUGCCUUGGUCAUCCUGCACCAUGGAGCUGCUUGUCUCUCCUCUGUGUAAUCUAAUCUUCUAUGAGUCCAGUUUUUACAUGUUUAAAUUUCUUUUCCUUUUGUUUUUAGUUUACACAUAAUAAUUGUACAUAUUUAUGGAAUACAGACUGAUAUUUUCAUACAUGUAUCUACAUUGUGUAAUGAUCAAAUCAGGGUAAUUAGCAUAUCCAUCACCUCAAAUAUUGAUCACUUCUUUGUCUUGGGAACACUCAAAAUCGUCUCUCGUAGCUCUUUCAAAAUAUACAAUAAAUUCUUGUUAACUAUAUUCACCCUACGGUGCUAUAGAACACAAGAACUUAUUCAUCCUAUCUGGCUGUAAUUUUGUAUUCUUUAAGCAACCUUCCCCAUCUUCCUCUCCCUCAUCUAAUAACAUUCUCAGCCUCUAAUAACCACAACUCCACUCUCUACUUCCAUGAGCUCAACGUUUUUUUAGCUCCCACAUAUGAAUGAGGACAUGCAGUAUUUAUCUUUCUGUGCCUGACUUAUUUCAUUUAUGUAAUCUAAUUUUAAAACAAUUAUUUGGGCUCUCCGGAAUCAGUAAUACAAAAAGAAUACAGCAAAAUGUGCUGUUUUCUUUUGCAGAAAAGAAUUAUAGUCUCUCUCUACGUUUUCCAUUGGAAUUAGCAUAACAGUCCUCAAGGGUUUACCCACUGAGGGAGACACCAAGAGUCCCCUUUAAGCAGAGGGUAAUUACAUCCUGCUAUUCAGCCCAUUUACUGGAGGUUAACUCAUUAGCACCCCGCCAACUCCGUUUUUAAUCUAAUCUAUUUCUCUAUCUCCUCCCCUAGACUCACAAUGCUGUGUGUCCUCUCUGUUGCACCUAAAACUCUUCAUCAAGUAACCAGGCGAAGAGGUCUGUCUUCUCUUCCAGAAGCCCAAGAUCCCUUUUCCAAGGACUGUCUGGAUGCCCCUGCCUUGAAUCUGAGUUUUAUCUUCUGCAGACCUGGGCUUAAUUUGCUGCUCUGAAAAAGGACACAGGCUCUGUAGCCAGACAGAUGUGGGUUUUGAUGCCAGAGCCACCGUUUAAGUAGCUGGGGAACUUUGGGUACGUUUCUGGCCAUUGCUUUUCACAUCUUGUCACUGGGAAUGUUAUUAUUAUUUUAUCUAUUUUUUUUUUUGAGACGGAAUCUUGCUUUGUUGCCCAGGCUAGAGUGCAGUGGCUCUAUCUCAAUUCACUGCAAGCUCCGCCUCCCGGGUUCACUCCAUUCUCCUGCCUCAGCAUUCCAAGUAGCUGGGACUACAGGUGCGCACCACCACGCCCGGCUAACUUUUUGUAUUUUUAGUAGAGGCGGGUUUUCACAGUGUUAGCCAGGAUGAUCUCGAUCUCCUGACCUCCUGAUCCGCCCGCCUCGGCCUCCCAAAGUGCUGGGAUUACAGACGAGAGCCACCACGCCCAGCCAGGAAUGUUAUUAACACCUAGAUUCAUCAUUGGGAACAUUUUCAAAAAAUGUAUUAUUAUUCCUUAUUCCUUUCUCUUAGACAAUUUUUUCUUUUUAAGCUGAGAGGUGUCAAUAGGGCAACAUUUCUGAUUUAUACAUUGUUUUCUCCAUGGAGUUGCAUUUGGCAAAACUCCAGGUGCAUGGAAACACACAGGUGGGUCUUUGUGCCAUCAGGCUGGGCUGCUCAGUGGGCCCAGCUGUUAGUCCACGUGUUUGCCUGUGGGUCAACAGAACAGGAAAGGCUCCUGGAUUCUCUCUGUUGCUUUCCAUCCACCUGGACUGCUCCACCUCCUAUCCUCUCUGUCUCCUUGAUUCAACUCGAUGCUACCCUCAUUUAUCCAAGCAGAGAAAGGUGCUCCUUUCCUCUUUUAGUUUUCUCUCACCCUUCCUUCUUUUCACAUCUAUUUCUUACUGUUUCCUGCACAGUGCUUGUCUUUUCUCUGACAUUGUAUGAGCAAUUUCUUUGAUACAAUGGUAGUCUCCAAUUAUGCUACUGGGCAAGCCAGCCUAGAGGUUGUGGAACAGAAAGGCUCUCAGACCAACUUAAGUCACUCAUAUCGCAAGUUUUAUUGAAUCAGCUGAAAAUAUCCAGUACUUUCAAGGGGAAAGAUGUGAGAAAGGUUCACCCACUUAGCUUAAGGUGCAAGCAGGUGGCAGGACCACACGACCCGAUCCUCAGUGACUCAGUGUUCAUGUGACCGGUGUUCUCUUCUACAUUGACCUUCCAAGCUCAUGGGGUAGUUACUUUGGAACAAGGAGGCUCUGCAGAGAAAACUGCCUGAAGCCAAAAUGAUCUUGCUCUACCAGAGAGAUAAAGGGGCAAGUAUGCCUGGCCAAUAAAGAGCUUGCUAAACAGCCAUUGCUUUUCUCUGUGUUUCUAGACAAAGCUCAUGUGGGGAGAGAUGGGAUUAAUGUAGUUUCACCAAUGAUGGCUGAUUCAGCAAUAAUGUGCCUGUCAUAUAGAGGUGGCAUAAUACACACGUUGUAACUUGGCCUGUUCAUCUUUUUUCUGACUUUAAGUGUCAGAGGCAUGUGAACCAGAGCAACUCCAUCUUAACUCGGAGCUGGGUAAAAUGAGGCUGAGACCUACGGGGCUGCAUUCCCAGUUGGUUAAGGUAUCCUAAGUCCCAGGAUGAGACAGAAGGUCAGCAUAAAAUACAGGUCAUAAAGAUCUUGCUGAUGAAACAGGUUGCAAUACAGAAGCUGGCUAAAACCCACCAAAACCAAGAUGGCCAAGAGAGUGACCUCUGGUCUUCCUCACUGCUACAUUCCCACCAGCACCAUGACAGUUUACAAAUGCCAUGGCAACAUCAGGAAGUUAACCUUUAUGAUCUAAAAAGGGGAGGCAUGAAUAAUCCACCCCUUUUUUAGCAUAUGAUCAAGAAAUAACCAUAAAAAUGGGCAGCCAGCAGCCCUCGGGGCUGCUCUACCUAUGGAUCAGCCACGCUUGUAUUCCUUUACUUUCUUAAUAAAUUUGCUUUCACUUUGCUCUAUGGACUUGCCCUGAAUUCUUUCUUGUGCAAGAUCCAAGAACUCUCUCUUGGGGUCUGGAUUGGGACCCCUUUCCUGUAACGUAAGCAACAUUUUUAUUUGUUCUAUUCUUUUUUAAGAAUUGUGAUAUAACACACAGAACAUAAACUUUACUGUGUUGAUGAUGUUUGAGUAUAAUUCAGCGGCAUUAAGCGCAUUCACACUGUUGUGCAACCAUUACCACUGUCCAUUUUCAGAACUUUUGCAUCACCCCAGACUAAAAACUGUGUGCAUUAAACACUAACUCCCCACUCCCCUCCCCUUAGCCCCUAGUAAUCUCGAUUCUACUUUCUGUCUCUAUGAAUUUGCCUAUUCUGGAUACCUCAUAUAAGCAAAAUCAUACAGGAUUUGUCCUUUUGUGUCUGGCUUAUUUCAAUACUUGGCAUAAUGUUUUCAAGUUCACCCAUGUUGUAGCAUGUAUCAAAAUUUUAUUCCAUUUUAGGGUUGAGUAAUAUUCCAUCAUUUGUGUAUACCAUAUAUUUUUUAAUUCACUCAUUUGUUGAUGAACAUUUGAGUGGUUUCUUUCUUUUGGCUAUUGUGAGUGAUGCUGCUACAAACAUGGAUGUUCAGGUAUCUGUUUGAGUCUCUGCUUUCAUUUCUUUGAGAGUAUAUACCUAGAAGUGGAAUUGCUGGGUCCUAUGGUAAUUCUGCUUAAAUUUUUGAGAGACCACCGGUUUCAUCCUUUUUUAAAAUCAGUGUUCAAUAUUCACAUAUUCUGUUUAUUUCUAUGGCUAACAUUAGUUUUUCUUAUUUUUUUAUAGCAAAAUUAAGUAUUCCUAAAUAUUGCAGCCAAUUCACCUUACAACCCCUUCCCAUAUUAUCUACCCAGCAGGCACUGUAAGGUCUGUUCUUGGAUACUGACAAACAUUCUGCAAUCCUCAGUCCACAGCUGUACACCAAAUAUUUGGAACAGAGAUCAGUUAACUGAUUAAUUACUAUGACUUUGUGCUCGGGGAACAUGCCAAGCACCAAUCCCCCACCUUCCCCACCCUGCCUGUGUCUCUGUUCCCUUUGUGUUCCCUACAUUCUUUCAAAUACCUGCAAAUCCACCUUCUCUACCACGCAUCAAUGUUGCUGGCUUCCAUUUCUUAUUGAUUUUGUAUGACUUUGAGGUUUCCUGCCUGGGUACCCAGGACCAUGACUCUCUCUCUGGAGAUACCCAUCCUGACUGAUACACCCUAGCCACCUCCCUUUACGCUCCCUCUACUCCAUCCUCAGUCCAAGAGCUUCAGGCACUCCAGUCCUGCCCCAGAGACGCAGGUUUCAUCCUCUCGCAUGCUUUGCAGGAACUUCUUUAUUUUAUUGU
RNAcentral lists this long non-coding RNA (10633 nucleotides) under Homo sapiens (human). RNAcentral describes it as "non-protein coding lnc-HMBOX1-12:3". The record is from RNAcentral. Lineage: Eukaryota; Metazoa; Chordata; Mammalia; Primates; Hominidae.